RNAcentral lists this ribosomal RNA (486 nucleotides) under uncultured bacterium. RNAcentral describes it as "bacterial SSU rRNA". It matches the Rfam family "Bacterial small subunit ribosomal RNA", at positions 28 to 496 of the family's 1533-position model. The record is from RNAcentral.
GAUGAACGCUAGCGGCAGGCCUAAUACAUGCAAGUCGUACGGCAACACAGUUGCGAGCAAUCGCAACCGGUGGCGAGUGGCGCACGGGUGAGUAACGCGUAUGUAACCUACCCUUCUCCGGGACAUAACUCCGCGAAAGCGGUGCUAAUAUCCCAUACCAACUCAUCAAGACAUCUUCUUGAGUUGAAAGCAGCAAUGCGGUGAAGGAUGGGCAUGCGUCCCAUUAGCUGGUUGGUGAGGUAAUGGCCCACCAAGGCUACGAUGGGUAGGGGUUCUGAGAGGACGACCAGCCACACUGGAACUGAGACACGGUCCAGACUCCUACGGGAGGCAGCAGUGGGGAAUUUUGGACAAUGGGCGCAAGCCUGAUCCAGCAAUGCCGCGUGCAGGAUGAAGGCCUUCGGUUGUAAACUGCUUUGUACGGUAACGAAACGGUGAGCUCUAAUAAAGACUUGCUAAUGACGGUACCGUAAGAAUAAGCACCGG